RNAcentral lists this unclassified non-coding RNA (378 nucleotides) under plant metagenome. RNAcentral's name for it is "partial contains 5.8S ribosomal RNA, internal transcribed spacer 2, and large subunit ribosomal RNA". The stretch from base 1 to 105 matches the Rfam family "5.8S ribosomal RNA", at positions 50 to 154 of the family's 154-position model. The record is from RNAcentral.
UAACUGCGAUAAGUAAUGUGAAUUGCAGAAUUCAGUGAAUCAUCGAAUCUUUGAACGCACCUUGCGCUCCUUGGUAUUCCUUGGAGCAUGCCUGUUUGAGUAUCAUGAAAUCUUCAAAGUAAAUCUUUUGUUAACUCAAUUGGUUUCUACUUUGGUAUUGGAGGUCUUUGCAGCUUCACACCUGCUCCUCUUUGUUCAUUAGCUGGAUCUCAGUGUUAUGCUUGGUUCCACUCGGCGUGAUAAGUUAUCUAUCGCUGAGGACACUGUAAAAGGUGGCCAAGGUAAAUGCAGAUGAACCGCUUCUAAUAGUCCAUUGACUUGGACAAUACUUUUAUGAUCUGAUCUCAAAUCAGGUAGGACUACCCGCUGAACUUAAGC